CGGACGGGUGAGUAAUGCCUAGGAAUCUGCCUGGUAGUGGGGGACAACGUUUCGAAAGGAACGCUAAUACCGCAUACGUCCUACGGGAGAAAGCAGGGGACCUUCGGGCCUUGCGCUAUCAGAUGAGCCUAGGUCGGAUUAGCUAGUUGGUGGGGUAAUGGCUCACCAAGGCGACGAUCCGUAACUGGUCUGAGAGGAUGAUCAGUCACACUGGAACUGAGACACGGUCCAGACUCCUACGGGAGGCAGCAGCC
RNAcentral lists this ribosomal RNA (254 nucleotides) under uncultured Pseudomonas sp. Its description in RNAcentral is "partial 16S ribosomal RNA". It matches the Rfam family "Bacterial small subunit ribosomal RNA", at positions 99 to 355 of the family's 1533-position model. Lineage: Bacteria; Pseudomonadati; Pseudomonadota; Gammaproteobacteria; Pseudomonadales; Pseudomonadaceae. The record is from RNAcentral.